Molecule: ribosomal RNA, 50 nt
Filed under: Cylindrocarpon sp.
Lineage: Eukaryota; Fungi; Ascomycota; Sordariomycetes; Hypocreales; Nectriaceae
Description: partial 28S ribosomal RNA
Source: RNAcentral
GGUUGACCUCGAAUCAGGUAGGACUACCCGCUGAACUUAAGCAUAUCAUA